CGUAAGCAUGUCGUCUUAAUUGAGCUCUUAUUUCCAGUUUCUAUGUUCGGAUGCACACUUUGCCAUGUUUGGGUAGUUGGAUUAGACAAUAAUAGGGAGUAUCACACAGCUUUUCUCCUUUCAAUGUAUGAGGUAUCAAGGAUCUGGUUACUGUAGUUUGACAUGAUAAUAUCUGUCUUGAACUAUUCUGAGAUGGAACGAGAACUCUAAUUUCUUUUGGAAUUCUAUUUGGUAGUUAUUCGAACGAGAAAUCAGAAGCCCGCAUCUCUGAUUUACCUGCCGAAGCUAAUGUCGAUGCAUCGUCAAAACGUACACCUGAGGUAUGCCAAAUGUUUAGUUAACUAUGCAUGUGAGAUUCGUCUUUCGACUGCUAUAACCUAUAAUUCUGACUCACCGUCUCUUUUCCCUUGUUUUCUCUGUUAAGGUUUGACAGAAUAGACCAACCGAGACCAGAUGAAGCGAUGAGAAAUCGAUUGCAAGGAGAUAAUUGAAGCCAUCUAUACGAAGGUAACAAGGCUGCAGGUACCGAUCGAGUGUAAAUUCUCUAUGUACUUUGUGCAGAUCUUUUCGGUAUCUGUAUGUGCGCAUUAAUUCUUGACUUGGAAAAUGUAGUUUAACUAGUCAUGCCUAAAACAUGCAGUGUCGACAUUUUUAUAUAAGAAUCUCCACUUUCUCCACUGAUAAAUGUCUGCAGUAUGUCAAUAUAGUUUAUUUGUUCGUUAUGCAGUUUCUUGACUGUUCUCUGUAUUUUUCUUUUUAAUUUAACCAUAAGCUUGAAGCUUUAAAAUUCCUGAACUUCAUUUACUCAUGGUGUCUGCAUCAAAUUAUACGAGACUGGUUGUCUCAUGCGACUGUUGAAAAUGAUUUAAAUAAUUAAAUUUGUCCCCUUUCUAACAUCAUAAACUUUUAAAUGACGUGUUACAACAUGAUCCUAGUGCAGUCAAAAGAUGCGAGUUCAAGUCUCCCUGCCACCUAUUUAUAAUCGUCACAUGUCAGGCCUUUGAUAAAAAUGUAUUCAGCCUGAACUUAAUGCGGCACUUUGAAGGCAGUAUACAUAAUUAAGUUUGUCCUCUUUCUUCAAAAGCUUUUAAGCGAGGUGGUUUGACCGUGUCUAUGCUUUUCAACUUUUGCCUCGUCCACUAGUCUAAUCCUUAAUUAGGUCUCAGUAUUGUUUUUAGCUCUGGUGUAUCUGGUCAAGAGGUUUAGGCAAACCUAUAUAAUUUAGAGAGAGCAAAUUUUGGGUGUGGAGGAAUAUGGCAUGGAUUACUUUACAUGUUGGGAAUGAUCCCCUUCUUUGUACUCUGAAUCGGAAUACUAUGUGGCUUCAGUAGAUUUGAGCUCGUAAAAGAUUUCAAGAUAAAACCAUAAUGUUUUGCUCUCUGCAUAAACAAAUGGCUUGUUUUUCAGGCGGGUUGGAAGCUUUGGCCUUUUGCUCAUCUCGUUACCUACGGUGUGAUCCCUGUUGAACAAAGACUUCUUUGGGUCGACUGUGUGGAGCUCAUUUGGGUGACAAUAUUAUCAACGUAAGCAUGUCGUCUUAAUUGAGCUCUUAUUUCCAGUUUCUAUGUUCGGAUGCACACUUUGCCAUGUUUGGGUAGUUGGAUUAGACAAUAAUAGGGAGUAUCACACAGCUUUUCUCCUUUCAAUGUAUGAGGUAUCAAGGAUCUGGUUACUGUAGUUUGACAUGAUAAUAUCUGUCUUGAACUAUUCUGAGAUGGAACGAGAACUCUAAUUUCUUUUGGAAUUCUAUUUGGUAGUUAUUCGAACGAGAAAUCAGAAGCCCGCAUCUCUGAUUUACCUGCCGAAGCUAAUGUCGAUGCAUCGUCAAAACGUACACCUGAGGUAUGCCAAAUGUUUAGUUAACUAUGCAUGUGAGAUUCGUCUUUCGACUGCUAUAACCUAUAAUUCUGACUCACCGUCUCUUUUCCCUUGUUUUCUCUGUUAAGGUUUGACA
This 1954-nucleotide long non-coding RNA is filed under the name Olea europaea (common olive). RNAcentral describes it as "long non-coding RNA (OEUR_LNC001497)". The record is from RNAcentral. Lineage: Eukaryota; Viridiplantae; Streptophyta; Magnoliopsida; Lamiales; Oleaceae.